Molecule: long non-coding RNA, 1531 nt
Organism: Benincasa hispida (wax gourd)
Lineage: Eukaryota; Viridiplantae; Streptophyta; Magnoliopsida; Cucurbitales; Cucurbitaceae
Source: RefSeq, a predicted model, not a curated record
CUGCUUUUUUCCCCCGUCCCCCCCUUUUCUUAUUGCAGCCGCCAAGACCCCCUCUCCUCACCAGCUUCCAUCUCUCUCAUGCCUCUUCGUCGCCGCCUUCCAGCCGUUGCCCUAGUCGUCGAUGCACUGCUGUGAGCCGAUCGUUCGAGCUGCCCGCGAACCUCCGUCAUUCAUCCCAGUCGUGUACCGACGUCCUCUGCGUGCAGAUCCGCUCGCCAAUCGUGCCAAAAAUCCCGAUCUCCAUCUCUCUCCCGCGUCUCUCCUCACUCUCCCUUACCAUCGACGUCAGCCAUCCCCCGCGCGCGAACCAGACCCAAUCGUCGGCUUUCUCAGUCGACCUUCGCCCACCUAUCGCCUCACCAUGUCGUGUCGGCCCCUGUCCCCACCGCCACAGGUCCAGCCACGUGUCGCCCUACUCGUUCCGCUGUCGCCUUUCGCCAUUCUUUCAUCUUUUCGUCGUGCCUCUACUGUUGGGUUGAGUGUUUUGGUAAGAUUUUCACAUUUGGGGUGAAUUUUGUGGAUUAAACUGUUGUCCUUUUGACUUUUGGUUUCGGUUUGAUUGAUACCCAUCGCGUUUGGAGCUAGAUUGAAGUUUUGAGAAAUUUCUGAGGCACUGUCCAGUUUCGUGGAAGGGUAAUUUUGGCGACCCUUUGGUUGGUAUCAGAGCUCACAUUUGGGGUUCUGAAGACUGACUUACUACUUAAAUCUAGGUAGUCCUUAUGGCCCAGUAAUUAAUUCCUUGUCGUCGUCAGGUAUGUCCUACUAAUGAAAGUUUCAGUACAUACAUGAGAUUAGUUGAUGUAAUGUUUUAGUGGCAUGUUUUCUUAAGAAAGUCUUAGAAAGAGAGUUGAUUUGUAAGUUCUUGACAGGACAUCGCACUUAAGCCCAGACCAAGAAAGGCAGUUAGAGGAGGGGUUCGGCACCCCAAGUGCAACAUCCACAAGUUUAGAUUCAUCCUCUUCCAGGGGUGUAGAAAGAGGGAACUAGUGGAAAUCAGACAGUCCAGCUUUAAGUCCACCUAUGUCUCAAGUCGAUGAAAAAGCAAUGGAGGCAAAAAAUGGGGAAGCCGUUGCAUUGUCCCUAAUGGAAAGAUUGCAGGAUUUGAUUUGCAAUGCAAUGAGAGGACAAACUGCCCAGAAUCAGGCUCAGAAUGAGCAAGUACCACAAGUUCAGUUGCAACAGACCCAGUCGCUGAGUCAAAACAUGUAGGGUCUGUCCCAUGAAGCUAAGCACUUGAGGGAUUUCAGGAAGUUUGUGCCUCGCCCAUUUGAUGGAUCGUUGAGGGAUCCCACUAAAGCAGAGAUGUGAUUGUCAUCGAUUGAGACGAUUUUUCGUUAUAUGACGUGCCCGAAAGAGCACAAGCUCUAAUGUGCAGUUUUUAUGUUGACUAGCUGAAGGAACUCAUUUUUAAAGAGAUCCAUGAGCGGAAGUGAAUAGUCUAAAUUCUAUUUAGAUUUAAAACAUGAAUUUACAAUAAACAUACAGAUUAUGAAUUCUAAGUUAAAUUACAGCAUGCUUUUUAAACAAGAAA